This 253-nucleotide ribosomal RNA is filed under the name uncultured bacterium. RNAcentral's name for it is "partial 16S ribosomal RNA". It matches the Rfam family "Bacterial small subunit ribosomal RNA", at positions 526 to 779 of the family's 1533-position model. The record is from RNAcentral.
CGUAGGGGCAAGCGUUAUCCGGAUUUACUGGGUGUAAAGGGAGCGUAGACGGCACAGCAAGUCUGAAGUGAAAUCCCCGGGCUCAACCCGGGAACUGCUUUGGAAACUGUUGGGCUGGAGUGCUGGAGAGGCAAGCGGAAUUCCUAGUGUAGCGGUGAAAUGCGUAGAUAUUAGGAGGAACACCAGUGGCGAAGGCGGCUUGCUGGACAGUAACUGACGUUGAGGCUCGAAAGCGUGGGGAGCAAACAGGAUU